Colossoma macropomum (tambaqui) is the source of this 87-nucleotide small nucleolar RNA. RefSeq annotates it as small nucleolar RNA SNORA69. The record is from RefSeq and is a predicted model, not a curated record. Lineage: Eukaryota; Metazoa; Chordata; Actinopteri; Characiformes; Serrasalmidae. The transcript has a single exon.
AAAGCAGGACGCAAUUACAGUGCUUCAUUUGGUGGAAGUACUGCCAUUAUCCUGCUGAGAGUAACAACCUGCUUUAGAGACACAGCU